CGAUAAGCUUCACUGUACGCGCUCAUUUAACUUCGUUAGUUCAGGAGAAGAUGACUGGGCUACGGCUAAAGCCAGCAGAAGCUACAUCGAACAAACUUCCCUUGUCUGCUUUGUGUUGGUUGGUACAAUGUGCCUUUGUUUGACAGUCUUGUUUUAGGAACAACUGUGUCCUUUUCAGACACUGUAGUUUUGGAUCUAGCUAACGUUAUAGCCGAGCAGCUAGCGUUAGCGCUGAAGCUAACGGCUAACUUAGUUAACGUUAGUCAAUGUUUGCCUGUGUUCCAACCAGCGUCACAGUACAUUUAUAAUUUUGAAGUUAUAAAACGUAUUGGUAUCCAAAGUUUCCUUUCUAGGCUUUCUAUGUUUUGAGUUUUACACGACGGGUUGUGUAGCUGAGAUGAACCACGUUUCGUGGCUAAAGCUAACUAGCUUGCCCUCAAGUGUUUUUGUCGCACGCGGGCAUUGCUGACUGCAUGUUGAUUGAUGAAGAAGGGGUGAGAGUGAUGAGUUGCACUAAUCAGUUGGGGCGUUUGAUGCAGUGGCAUCGAUGCCCCGAUCCGACCCGACCUGAGGACACACUGUGUGCACAGGGGCCAUCUGACUCAACCCUUCCGCUCUUUUCCAAGAAAGGAUAAAAGGAGGCUUGUUUAGGGACAGGGAUCGACUGUUUGCAUGGCUGACCUGCCUGGUUUCUAUGGUUUUGUGUCCUUAGCGGGUGCUGCUGCUGACUGUCCUGAAAUCCAUGCGUUGCAGCAAGAUGGGAGCGGAUGGAUUCGCCUCAGGGUCGAACGUGAAGCAGGAAUUCCGGCCAACUGCCAUGAAAUUCACACCUCUCAGAGAGAUGAGCGGGUGGAGCUGCCUCGCAAUCACAACUUGAAAAGCAAGGUAAAGACGGGAGGAAGUGUCUCCCAGCACAUCCAGGGAGCCAGCGUGGGGGUGAGAGUGAUGAGUUGCACUAAUCAGUUGGGGCGUUUGAUGCAGUGGCAUCGUUGCCCCGAUCCGACCCGACCUGAGGACACACUGUGUGCACAGGGGCCAUCUGACUCAACCCUCCCGCUCUUUAUAGCUGUGUGCAUUAUGAUGUCAUUGUGGGACUAUGUAGCCUAUAAUAGUUUUUGCCCACUGUUGCAUUGGAGGAGAGCAUCAUUACUUCUAUAAUUUGUUAGGAGGGAUUUUAAAAAGACAAGCGAAUCCUGAUUUCUCUUCAAAGACUUGUAGUUUCCAGAAUCUGUACUAAUACUGCCCGUCCUUUUCUUUUUUUAUGUCCACCAACCCGCAGUGGGAGGGUGUCAUGCUGUGGAUUUUCUCGGGCUUCUCCCUCCCAGAGUCCACCAUCAGCGCACUGACCUUGGAGGGCAGCGCCUUCAUUCCUGAAGGCAGACUAGAAAAACCCUUCCAGAUCCACAGCAGCAGCCCCUGGUACAGCUGCAGGACCCCCACCCGCUGCACAGGUGGCGUGUCCUUGAUGCCCGAGCGGCUGCAGUAUUGACCCGAUACGGGGAGGACGUUCCUGAUGGACGUGUCGGCCCAGAACCGCAUGGUGACCAGUGUGUUCCUUGGAAUAUCUCUCCUGCUGCAUUGUGGGCUUAUUGCUGGUGAGCAACACCAGGGAGGUCUCAUUCAUCCUGAAAUCUAUUUAAACUUUGCUGUCAUCUCCACAAAAGCGGCUUAAACGUGCACAAACCCUGUCGGGGGCCGUGUGUCGGUCUAAUGGGAACUCUCUGUAUCCUAAUGUGGGCAAGUCCUCUCAGUAAUGGCCUUCUCGCCUCUGCUUCCUCCUAAAGAGAGCAGCAUCAUCAUCAUCAGAGGCCACAGCUCAUCUUAAAUAUCUCCACGGUCAUUGAAUAAACCUUUAAAAUCAGUUUUGUGUCAUGUGUUUAUUAAUGGAUUCAAUAAGAGGGUGAGUCCUCCCUGUGAGAACGACCAUCGUUUUAUUUGCUUUAGUCAACAUUUUGAAUGCUAUUAGCUGUGUUGAAGGCUGG
This is a long non-coding RNA of Gasterosteus aculeatus aculeatus (three-spined stickleback), 1982 nucleotides long. NCBI's taxonomy places the organism in Eukaryota, Metazoa, Chordata, Actinopteri, Perciformes, Gasterosteidae. The record is from Ensembl.